GGAGGGGCGGGGAAGGCGGGCGGUCGCUGUGGGGAGGCGUUGGGCCCUUGUUGUGUCGGGGCGCGGGGCCCGUCCCCCCCCUUCUCCGCCGGUUCGCGGCUGCACAAAGACGCACAGGGCCCGUGUGAGUAAGACCAGGAUGGAAGAGUCCAAUGGGGACCUUCCCAUCCAGAGAGACACCAUCCUAUCCAAGUUGUGCUGUGAUCACGUCGCCGUAACAAACCUGCACUGAACUUGGUGGGCAUUUGGAAAACUGUAUUUGCAGCUGUUCCUGGGCCUACGUCAAAGACCCC
Molecule: long non-coding RNA, 293 nt
Filed under: Aquila chrysaetos chrysaetos
Lineage: Eukaryota; Metazoa; Chordata; Aves; Accipitriformes; Accipitridae
Description: lncRNA (ENSACCG00020011119.1)
Source: RNAcentral